This is a long non-coding RNA of Diceros bicornis minor, 1000 nucleotides long. RefSeq lists it as uncharacterized. The record is from RefSeq and is a predicted model, not a curated record. The transcript is spliced from 5 exons. NCBI's taxonomy places the organism in Eukaryota, Metazoa, Chordata, Mammalia, Perissodactyla, Rhinocerotidae.
AACCAUGUAAAAGAUCAAAACGUGCACGUGGAGACGACAAGGACUGAGGAAGGUCAUUUGCAAAUGGACUAAAGGCAGGCAUGACUUUCCCUCUUGAGGCCCCUCUAGGGGCUCUGUGUUCACCCCUGACCUAGCUUUGAAUCCGCCUUUGAUCCUUGAUCAGGACUCUGAAUUCCUUUUCCUGCUUGUUUUGUAUCCAGGAGGAAAGAUUUGUGACGCAGCUUUUAAGGCUACUGCUGGGCCUCGUUCCAUAAACAUGACUGUUCCCUGUGGAGUAGGAUUUUCAGCACCCCUGCCUUUCUUAUGCAAUUCCCUUUAGGGCAGAUAUUCCCUAGAAGGCCCACAGCCUCCUCCCUGGCUUGGCCUGAUGGAUCCCGGGUCAAAGAACAAGAGCAGAGGUCAUCAAAAGGUCAAGUCUAAUCUACCUACAGAUGUGGCAGGCUUAGCUAUGGAUGUUCAAGCCAGACAUUGCCAGGAGAACCACAUCUCUUCACCCAUAGCAUGGACUGUAGGAGAAAGCCCAGAGGAGCAAUGAAGACAAAGAAGACAUGACACCUGCAAAAAGUCAGUGGAGUAUUUCUACAUAAGAAACAUUCCAGGCUGCCAUGAUCCUCCCUCUGAACCCCAUGGUCAGUGUCGCUGCAGAGAUCCUCCCUUUGGACCCUGCCUGCCUGAAGGGCCCAUACCUUGAUCAGACGUCUUAGAACGACUGCCCUUAGCCAUGUCAUAAAAAGGAGAAAACAUCAUAUUUGACAACCCCAAUUCCUGCAUUAUACAGACAGGAAACUCAGGUGCACUUCUUUUCUGAUUGACUCCAAAUACUACAGCACCACACGCUUCUCAGUUGCGUGGAUGCACAUCUCCACUUCUUUGCAGGGAGGACGCACAACAGCAGAAUACCCGUGGCCUGACUUUCUGGAGCAUCAGUAUUACUACAAGAUUUGGAAAAACCAAAGUUAGGUCAUUUCCAAGGUAAAGAAUUAAAAACUUAAAACUAAGA